Long non-coding RNA from Mauremys mutica (yellowpond turtle), 665 nucleotides. RefSeq lists it as uncharacterized. The record is from RefSeq and is a predicted model, not a curated record. The transcript has 4 exons. Lineage: Eukaryota; Metazoa; Chordata; Testudines; Geoemydidae.
CAUAGACUCUAAGGAAUGGGACUGGUGAAUUCUCCUUUCAGCCCGAGGCACAGAAGUCCAGAGGCGGAAGACAAUAAGUAAAAUUUGUCUUCCUCUGUAACUAAUUUUGCCAUCAACCCAACUUGUGUUUGGACACUGCUUUUAUGUGAUAAUCAGAUGGGGCCUGAUCCUGUACCUCUGACGUCAAUGGGAGUUUUAUUAUGGACAUCAUUAGGAACAGGAUCAUGCACUAACUGAAAGCAAAUACUUUACACUUUUCAUCUGCUCCAAUCAUUUGCUCUUCCCUGGAAUGAUCUAGCCACAGAGGCAUUUAGCAUUAGAGAAAAGAAAUUGGAAAGACUGCUUUACAGUGUUUGUCUUACAUCACUAAAUAUUUCACAUAAUGGAUAUUUGGAAGCUUAGAUGACAACCAACCAUAAAACUUCAUGGGGAGUCUACUGGUAUAUUAUAUCACAUUCUAUGGCUACAUCAUCAUCUUUUUUUUUUAAAUUUAACUUUCAAUAGCAUAUGAAACAACAAAAUUGCCUGGAACAAGAGCUUUAGUUUGAUUUUUGGAUUCACUUUGUUCUAUAACAUGUUUUUAACCUAGUUGUGUAGUUAAAAGGUUUAAAUAUAGUUUGCUACAUUUUGAUUUGUGGCCAAAAUGUUUCGACUAGCUCCUAAAG